Ictalurus punctatus (channel catfish) is the source of this 1282-nucleotide long non-coding RNA. The record is from Ensembl. Lineage: Eukaryota; Metazoa; Chordata; Actinopteri; Siluriformes; Ictaluridae.
CUCUGUAAAUACCUCCCGCUUUUCUGAGAUCUCUGAAAGCAGACGGGUAGAACGAUGCUGUCUACACAACUGAAAUGCAUACAGGAAUAUUUUACAAACAGUCUGUAAUUGGUGAAAACAGCGGACGCACGUGGCCGAUAAGAUUAAAGGGGAAUCAGCAUGCACAAGAACCUCGUUUUUGAUGGCGCUUUUAAACAGAAAAUAGUAAUAAUAAUAAUUUGAAAGUACAGCCGAGCUGCCAGCAAAAUUGAAAGCACACUGCUCGCAUUAUUUCUAAAUGGCAUGCUUUUUUUGUUGUUGUUUCUUUCUUGAAAUUUUAUUAUUUAGAUUUUAUGUUUAUAUGUAGAAAUAGAGUAUAUUUGUCAUUUUUUUGCAUGUGGAAAAGGGACCAGAUUAUCACCUGGAGAUUGUGUGUGUGUGUUUGUUGAUUUUAGCUGUCUAGUUUAUACACUGCCAAGCACCUGGGGGUUUUUGUGUGUUUUUUCCGUCCCUUUAUGUCCACACUGCUCGCACCGGUUUGCUUUUAUGCAUACAGUGAUAUAACAUAAUGCCACCUACAUGCAUACACAAACACACACACACACACACACACACACACACACACACACACACACACAACACAAAUACAGGACUCCAGUCACGUAGGACCGAUCUGUCAGCAUGAAAUGAGCCAGUGAUGAUGUGUGGAGCCACACAAGAUUAUUUUUACCACACACACACACACACACACACACACACCACACGCUCACCCUCCAUUCUGUUCAUAUCUCCCCUCCCCCAUGGCCAUAUGUACAGUCCGUCAUUGGAUUAAACCAGAAGGACUAACUAGGCAUGCUAGUGUAGCUUAAAGAAAUAAGACUGUGUGUGUGUGUGUGUGUGUGUGUGUGUGUGUGUGGGAGCUGAGGAGGUGCCGUCUUUGACAUUCUUAAUCGUUUAUUUCUUUAGAUAUAUAAGGAAGAGUGGCAUAAAAAACCUUGUUCCAAUAAUUUUGCCUGUUAUUUGCAUAGUCAUGGAACAUCCAGACCUCCAGAAACUAUGCUAUUCAAUUAUGCUAGCUAGCUAACCUCUAGCUUCCACGUUAGCUAAUUUCUUUGCUACCUAAUGGCACUCAGACUGGCAUAAAAAUCGGGAAUGGUGGAGAAAAUAAUUCUUGUGAUUUCAUUCUUCCCAUCAGCCAUCUAGUCAUACUCUAAAAAAAUGUAAAGGUCAGUGCUUGCUAACUAACUAAAUGACUAACUAGCUUGAUGUGAAAUGUAUAGCUAUUCAUAGCUGUACUUCAUUU